This 465-nucleotide ribosomal RNA is filed under the name uncultured bacterium. RNAcentral's name for it is "partial 16S ribosomal RNA". It matches the Rfam family "Bacterial small subunit ribosomal RNA", at positions 338 to 795 of the family's 1533-position model. The record is from RNAcentral.
CCUACGGGAGGCAGCAGUAGGGCAUCUUCCACAAUGGACGAAAGUCUGAUGGAGCAACGCCGCGUGAGUGAAGAAGGGUUUCGGCUCGUAAAGCUCUGUUGGUAGUGAAGAAAGAUAGAGGUAGUAACUGGCCUUUAUUUGACGGUAAUUACUUAGAAAGUCACGGCUAACUACGUGCCAGCAGCCGCGGUAAUACGUAGGUGGCAAGCGUUGUCCGGAUUUAUUGGGCGUAAAGCGAGUGCAGGCGGUUCAAUAAGUCUGAUGUGAAAGCCGUCGGCUCAACCGGAGAAUUGCAUCAGAAACUGUUGAACUUGAGUGCAGAAGAGGAGAGUGGAACUCCAUGUGUAGCGGUGAAAUGCGUAGAUAUACGGAGGAACACCAGUGGCGAAGGCGGAUUGCUGGACAGUAACUGACGCUGAGGCGCGAAAGCGUGGGGAGCAAACAGGAUUAGAUACCCGAGUAGUC